GCUCAGAUUGAACGCUGGCGGCAGGCUUAACACAUGCAAGUCGAGCGGAGAGAGGUAGCUUGCUACUGAUCUUAGCGGCGGACGGGUGAGUAAUACUUAGGAAUCUGCCUAUUAGUGGGGGACAACAUCUCGAAAGGGAUGCUAAUACCGCAUACGUCCUACGGGAGAAAGCAGGGGAUCUUUAUGACCUUGCGCUAAUAGAUGAGCCUAAGUCGGAUUAGCUAGUUGGUGGGGUAAAGGCCUACCAAGGCGACGAUCUGUAGCGGGUCUGAGAGGAUGAUCCGCCACACUGGGACUGAGACACGGCCCAGACUCCUACGGGAGGCAGCAGUGGGGAAUAUUGGACAAUGGGGGGAACCCUGAUCCAGCCAUGCCGCGUGUGUGAAGAAGGCCUUAUGGUUGUAAAGCACUUUAAGCGAGGAGGAGGCUUACCUGGUUAAUACCCAGGAUAAGUGGACGUUACUCGCAGAAUAAGCACCGGCUAACUCUGUGCCAGCAGCCGCGGUAAUACAGAGGGUGCAAGCGUUAAUCGGAUUUACUGGGCGUAAAGCGCGCGUAGGCGGCCAAUUAAGUCAAAUGUGAAAUCCCCGAGCUUAACUUGGGAAUUGCAUUCGAUACUGUUUGGCUAGAGUGUGGGAGAGGAUGGUAGAAUUCCAGGUGUAGCGGUGAAAUGCGUAGAGAUCUGGAGGAAUACCGAUGGCGAAGGCAGCCAUCUGGCCUAACACUGACGCUGAGGUGCGAAAGCAUGGGGAGCAAACAGGAUUAGAUACCCUGGUAGUCCAUGCCGUAAACGAUGUCUACUAGCCGUUGGGGCCUUUGAGGCUUUAGUGGCGCAGCUAACGCGAUAAGUAGACCGCCUGGGGAGUACGGUCGCAAGACUAAAACUCAAAUGAAUGACNGGGCCCGCACAAGCGG
RNAcentral lists this ribosomal RNA (915 nucleotides) under Acinetobacter sp. 20_SBR2. RNAcentral describes it as "bacterial SSU rRNA". It matches the Rfam family "Bacterial small subunit ribosomal RNA", at positions 22 to 932 of the family's 1533-position model. Lineage: Bacteria; Pseudomonadati; Pseudomonadota; Gammaproteobacteria; Moraxellales; Moraxellaceae. The record is from RNAcentral.